RNAcentral lists this long non-coding RNA (531 nucleotides) under Anser cygnoides (Swan goose). RNAcentral's name for it is "lncRNA (ENSACDG00005014512.1)". Lineage: Eukaryota; Metazoa; Chordata; Aves; Anseriformes; Anatidae. The record is from RNAcentral.
AGAUGGAUGAAGUAUGAAGCAGAGAUAUUUGCUCCUGGGAGUUUCUGAGUAUAUUCAGGACAGGGAUUUUGGAAGCAAUCCCAACCAGAGAAAGAGCAGGGAGUUCUUGAUUUUUGGAUGAGAAGGAAACAAUUAAGUUGAAUUCUGCUGGAAUCUCUCCAUACAAUGGAUGCUCCACACAAGGCAUUGGCUGUGAAACAGAACAUCAGGCAUUGCAUGACAUCAGGUAGCACAUUUCUGUUUAUUUGCCUUUCUUCAAGAACUCUAACUCACUGUUGGGCAAAGGAGUGCAUACAAGAUGUACAAGAAAAGGUUAAAAGAGACUUUAUGGUCUUUAUGGUGAAAUAUCACCAUAUUCUAUGGCAUGAAGGACCACAGCCUCUUUUUUUUUUUUUUUUUCUUUUUAAAAGGAUAUGGUUCUGUGUUCUGGCUGAUGUUUUACAGUUCAGAGAACAACUUGCCCUUCUACAGGAAUCUCUUGAGAAAAUUAAUAGUGAACACAGUAUUUUACUAGGCUGUAUUACUGAAUAA